ACCCCUGAUCUUUGUAAUGAUCUCCUAUAAAUAUAAUCACCAGCAUGACGACAUAACUACUUAUUGAUGGGUGCAGUUCGUUUCUACACACAAACCCGGUUUUGCGGCCUUCAAAAUUGGUUAUAUGAACUAAAGAGUAUAUUGUCAAUCAAGCGUAUAUUAUAAAAAAAUAUUGGGAAAUUAGCACUACUGCAAAAAUUAGGCGAUCGGAGCAAGAAACGAAUUUUCAGACACACCCAAACAAAAUUCGGCCAACCUUUCCCUGGAGUUUUUCUCGUUAUCAUGUUCUUAUCAGAUAGCCGAGUGCUACAAUUAUAAUUAUGCAAUUACCGUUGACUUUCUUUCGAUUUUCAGAGGCAAAUUAAAUGUCAACGUUGCUAACUGAUUAAGCAGGUGACGAAUCACUGUUACUAAAUUACUUUCAAAAAUGAAAACAAUGGCAGCAUUUGCCCAAUAAGACAAUAUCAUACAUAUAUUUUUUUUUGAAAUGUGCUUUUGUUUUUAUGAGAGUGUUUCGAGGUUACAUACAUAAAAUAAAUAUAUAUAUUGAGUAUACUUAUGACAUGUAUCUGUGAACAUGCGAAUUUCCUAGUUUUCGCUUAGAAAAUAUCAUUUUAAUUAGAAUAAAAUAGCACAGAAACUGAAUGAAUACACUUCGGAAUAAGAUACACUAUUUUAACUACAUAAGAAGAUUGAUCUUUUGAUUUUUUUUUUAUGCAUGAUAGUGUACUUAUGGUUUCCCUGAUAUCUUUAAGGUUUUUGGGCAUGAUAUCAUAAAUUUGAAGAUUCAUUUCAGUUUCCUCAGGAAAGAGUGGUUCUGAUGGGUUGAGUUCGGUUGGGUCGGGGAUCCCUGGACAAUUAGCAGAUACACGUCUAUAAAGAUGGGCUAGAGAUCGCCGCGUGCCAAGCACGAUCGGUUGGAAUGAUCACAUAUGAAUGCACACAUCGCACCGAAAUCUUUAGAAUAAAUAUUAUAUCGCACUGUUGACACAUUUCGUAUAUUGAUUAUGGGUAAUCUGGAAUCAUAUGAUGGAACGCACUGAAGUUUGGCCACUUUUCCGGUGCCCUGUAUUUAUUUAAUUAUGUCAACUGUUGGACGAGAGAUUAUAUUGUUUUAGAUACCAUAAAGCUUUUCGCUUUCGCCAAUUCAACAGGUGAAAAGUGAUCACGCACGAAGUUUAUAUUGUGGGGCACGCGCACGUCACUAAUGUGAGAUCAUUUAGAUUAUUUUAAACACAAACAAAUACACACUUUUCAAUAGCCAUGCACAUAGAUCGGCCGUAUAAACAUUCGCGUUAUAUAAAGAAUUUUCCCCAUUGUAUCCAUUUACAGAUUAACCACCGCACAUAUGCCUUGGGUACAGGUACACACAUGGGUACGCACGGGUACACACGGGUACACAUGGGUACAAUGUAGAUAAAAAUAUACACAGGUAUGCCCGAGGAGGAUUGGUAAUGUGUUCCAGAUGGAGAUGACCUCAAAUGCUCAGCGCCAAGCUUUUCGCGAUACUCACCCACCGAGUUGUACUUUAAGACUAAACGAACUUGAUGAACUUUGUGUAGAGAGAUAGAGAGCUUUGCAACAAUUCGAGGGCUUUUUUCAAAAGUUAUAGUACAUGGGCAACAACAAAUGACGAGGCAAACGAAUGUGACGAUUCUAUUAUGAUCGUUAUGGUCGAUAGGGGCAGGGAAAAGGGCCAUCUAGAGAACCAAACUUAAGAUCAUAUGGCUGCAUUCUACACAUUCUGAGGGAAGCUAAAACAAAACCAUGUAUUCAGCAAAACCCAAAUAGACAUGAGUAACUCCCAUGGAAAUAUUUCGGCUGUAUUCUACGAGUUGGGACGACACCUUACAUACACAUUCAUGAGUGUUAGGCACACAAUAUAUGGCUGUAAAUUUCGAAGUUGUAUGCUUAUGGAGUGUAAUAUAAUAAAAUGAGUCUACCAUGACUUGUACUACUCUCUUGUUUUAAUGAAAA
Drosophila yakuba is the source of this 1977-nucleotide long non-coding RNA. RefSeq lists it as uncharacterized. The transcript has 2 exons. NCBI's taxonomy places the organism in Eukaryota, Metazoa, Arthropoda, Insecta, Diptera, Drosophilidae. The record is from RefSeq and is a predicted model, not a curated record.